Molecule: unclassified non-coding RNA, 68 nt
Organism: Aotus nancymaae (Ma's night monkey)
Lineage: Eukaryota; Metazoa; Chordata; Mammalia; Primates; Aotidae
Gene: 7SK
Rfam family: 7SK RNA
About the family: 7SK was discovered as an abundant small nuclear RNA in the mid-70s but a possible function has only recently been suggested. Two independent studies have found that 7SK RNA binds the CDK9/cyclin T complex (known as elongation factor P-TEFb). P-TEFb activates transcription by phosphorylating the C-terminal domain of RNA polymerase II.
Source: Ensembl
CUGUGACAUCAGUGUCCCACUGAUUACUAGGGUUGAUUCAACUGAUUUGGCUGACUGGGCUGGGGUCU